RNAcentral lists this transfer RNA (77 nucleotides) under Clostridium moniliforme. RNAcentral describes it as "tRNA-Arg". It matches the Rfam family "tRNA". From Rfam's summary of the family: Transfer RNA (tRNA) molecules are approximately 80 nucleotides in length. Their secondary structure includes four short double-helical elements and three loops (D, anti-codon, and T loops). Lineage: Bacteria; Bacillati; Bacillota; Clostridia; Eubacteriales; Clostridiaceae. RNAcentral also lists the same sequence under 1 other name. The record is from RNAcentral.
GCAUCUAUAGCUCAGUUGGAUAGAGCGGUGGACUUCGAAUCCAAAGGUCGCGGGUUCAAUUCCUGCUAGAUGCACCA